RNAcentral lists this ribosomal RNA (810 nucleotides) under Fusarium decemcellulare. RNAcentral describes it as "partial large subunit ribosomal RNA". It matches the Rfam family "Eukaryotic large subunit ribosomal RNA", at positions 77 to 917 of the family's 3401-position model. Lineage: Eukaryota; Fungi; Ascomycota; Sordariomycetes; Hypocreales; Nectriaceae. The record is from RNAcentral.
GCCCUAGUAACGGCGAGUGAAGCGGCAACAGCUCAAAUUUGAAAUCUGGCUCUCGGGCCCGAGUUGUAAUUUGUAGAGGAUGCUUUUGGUGCGGUGCCUUCCGAGUGCCCUGGAACGGGACGCCAUAGAGGGUGAGAGCCCCGUCUGGUUGGAUGCCAAUCCUCUGUAAAGCUCCUUCGACGAGUCGAGUAGUUUGGGAAUGCUGCUCUAAAUGGGAGGUAUAUGUCUUCUAAAGCUAAAUACCGGCCAGAGACCGAUAGCGCACAAGUAGAGUGAUCGAAAGAUGAAAAGCACUUUGAAAAGAGAGUUAAAAAGUACGUGAAAUUGUUGAAAGGGAAGCGUUUAUGACCAGACUUGGGCUUGGUUAAUCAUCCAGGGUUCUCCCUGGUGCACUUUUCCAGUCCAGGCCAGCAUCAGUUUGCUUCGGGGGAUAAAGGCUUCGGGAAUGUGGCUCUCUCCGGGGAGUGUUAUAGCCCGUUGCGUAAUACCCUGGGGCGGACUGAGGUACGCGCUUCUGCAAGGAUGCUGGCGUAAUGGUCAUCAACGACCCGUCUUGAAACACGGACCAAGGAGUCGUCUUCGUAUGCGAGUGUUCGGGUGUCAAACCCCUACGCGUAAUGAAAGUGAACGCAGGUGAGAGCUUCGGCGCAUCAUCGACCGAUCCUGAUGUUCUCGGAUGGAUUUGAGUAAGAGCAUACGGGGCCGGACCCGAAAGAAGGUGAACUAUGCUUGUAUAGGGUGAAGCCAGAGGAAACUCUGGUGGAGGCUCGCAGCGGUUCUGACGUGCAAAUCGAUCGUCAAAUAUGAGCA